GUGAACGCUGGCGGUAGGCCUAACACAUGCAAGUCGAACGGCAGCACAGUAAGAGCUUGCUCUUACGGGUGGCGAGUGGCGGACGGGUGAGGAAUACAUCGGAAUCUACUUUUUCGUGGGGGAUAACGUAGGGAAACUUACGCUAAUACCGCAUACGACCUACGGGUGAAAGCAGGGGAUCUUCGGACCUUGCGCGAUUGAAUGAGCCGAUGUCGGAUUAGCUAGUUGGCGGGGUAAAGGCCCACCAAGGCGACGAUCCGUAGCUGGUCUGAGAGGAUGAUCAGCCACACUGGAACUGAGACACGGUCCAGACUCCUACGGGAGGCAGCAGUGGGGAAUAUUGGACAAUGGGCGCAAGCCUGAUCCAGCCAUACCGCGUGGGUGAAGAAGGCCUUCGGGUUGUAAAGCCCUUUUGUUGGGAAAGAAAAGCAGCAGGUUAAUACCCCGCUGUUCUGACGGUACCCAAAGAAUAAACACCGGCGAACUUCGU
Molecule: ribosomal RNA, 490 nt
Filed under: uncultured bacterium
Lineage: Bacteria
Description: partial 16S ribosomal RNA
Rfam family: Bacterial small subunit ribosomal RNA
Source: RNAcentral